This is an RNA transcript of Zea mays, 4479 nucleotides long. It is a transcript of the gene named Diaminopimelate epimerase chloroplastic, with no coding region annotated. The record is from RefSeq and is marked provisional. Lineage: Eukaryota; Viridiplantae; Streptophyta; Magnoliopsida; Poales; Poaceae. The transcript has 11 exons.
UCUCCUCAGUAAAAAACAAAUCGCGCUGUAGGUUCCCUACAGCCUUUCCCCUGAAAAAAAAAUUACCCCCCGGACCUCCUCCUCCGAUCGGCUUCCUCCUCCCAGUCCCGAACCGCACGCGCUCGAUUUCCCGCACCCCCUCUAGCCUCUAGCGGCCAUGUCGCCCGCCGCCGCCACCACAACCUUCGUCGCAAUCUCCAUCGCCGUCCCCAACCCUACCGCUCCAUCCCGCGGUCGCGUGCGCCUUCCGCUAGGCGGGGUCCCCGCUGCUCCACGCCGCGCCGUCGCCUCUAUGGCAGUGUCCGCCCCCAGGUCCGGCGCCGCCACCUCGUUUCUCGAGCGCCGCGAGUCGGAGCGCGCUCUCCACUUUGUCAAAUACCAGGGCCUCGGCAACGACUUCAUAAUGGUGGACAACAGGGAUUCGUCGGUGCCGAAGGUGACGCCCGAGGAGGCUGCGAAGCUGUGCGACCGAAACUUCGGCAUUGGCGCCGACGGUGUUAUCUUCGUCAUGCCGGGGGUCAAUGGUGCCGACUACACCAUGAGAAUCUUCAACUCUGAUGGCAGCGAACCAGAGAUGUGUGGUAAUGGAGUCCGUUGCUUCGCUCGGUUUAUAGCCGAGAUUGAAAAUCUGCAGGGGACAAAUAGAUUCACUAUUCAUACUGGUGCUGGAAAGAUCGUUCCUGAAAUACAAAGUGAUGGGCAGGUAAAGGUUGAUAUGGGCGAGCCUAUCCUUUCUGGACUAGACAUCCCCACAAAACUGCUAGCUACCAAGAACAAAGCUGUUGUUCAAGCUGAAUUGGCAGUUGAGGGCUUAACAUGGCAUGUCACAUGUGUUAGCAUGGGAAACCCUCACUGUGUCACAUUUGGUGCAAAUGAGUUAAAGGUAUUGCAGGUCGACGAUUUAAAACUUAGCGAAAUUGGGCCUAAAUUUGAGCAUCAUGAAAUGUUUCCUGCUCGCACAAACACAGAAUUCGUACAGGUUUUGUCUCGCUCACACCUCAAAAUGCGGGUCUGGGAACGUGGUGCUGGAGCAACUCUUGCCUGUGGUACUGGUGCUUGUGCAGUGGUUGUUGCAGCUGUUCUUGAGGGUCGAGCUGAGCGGAAAUGUGUAGUUGAUUUGCCUGGCGGGCCAUUGGAAAUUGAGUGGAGGGAGGAUGACAAUCAUGUUUACAUGACUGGUCCUGCAGAGGUCGUCUUUUAUGGAUCUGUUGUUCACUAGGUAAGAGGGGGAGGUCUUGGUGGCCAGGUGAUAUGGUGGGUGUGAUUUGGAGCUCCCUAAAGAUCCUAUAUUCCACCAUUUGGGUUGCCCUCAGAUUCUAACUGAUAAAGUAGCUUUUUUAAUUGGCUCAUGUUGCGCAUAUUGUAUUGCAAAAUCAUAGGUGUGCAUGUUAGGACAUCAGCUUUAUUGACGUCUGGAAUUUGCAGAGCUGGUCACAGGUGAAACGACGAGCGGGCAGCGUCUAAAGCAUCAUUUCAUGGAUCGUCCUCUUUGAACGUUCGGUGGUGUCAGGUCAGGCUGAAGCACAAGAUGUCCUCCAUCACGUACCCCUCCAAACUGGUAAACCGUCUCUAGAUUAUGGUUUCUCGAUUAAGAAACGAUUUGACUCUCUCUCGAGAUGUUGGCACGCGUGCUAGGCUGCUGGCUCGAGAGGCAGAAUGAUUGUUCUGUGCGACUUUUUUUGGGGGGGGGGGGGGGGGGGGGGGGGGGGGGGGGGGGGGGGGGGGGGGGGGGUUUCCGCCCAGGUCUGGUCGUAGCUUGGUUUGAUAAGCUGACAAUCCCUGGGAUCGUCUCUCGCCUCCUUCUCAUUUCGUAUUUUUUCAUAUCACAGCGAGUAGUGGACUGGUGAGUCCUCCUUUUCGCUUCCAUCAUGCAUGGCGAUCGCAUCAUCCAACGGCGGGUUUUGGAUGCACGCAUGUGUCCGCUCCGCUGCGCACAGGGGGUCUUUUCUGGAACAGCCACAUCUCCAGCACAGUCGGGGAGGGGAUGGGGGGUCUGGGACCUAACUUCUCCAUUAUACUGUGUGCACCUGUCUGUCUUCCUAUUCCUUCUUCUGAAAAAGGGCCUUUUUCCCCAACAGUGCAACUGAUAUGAUAAAUAUAUUUUCCUGGCGCGCGUGUGAGGCUCACCUCAGCCUUGAGCCCUUGUCAAUUUUCAAAGACGAGGCGAAGACGAGCACCGAUGUGGAGGCCACCGAGCUCAAGUUGCUGCGAGCCUGUGCGGUGGUGCAGUCCGCUUUUUUUUUCUUUCUAUCUCGGCUUGGCGUCUUACUUUUGGAAGCUUCGGCAUCGUUUCUGCUCGGUGUUUCCCGCGGUGGUCUCCCACCUGUGCGGGCUGGGGGGACUUUUGCGCCUGUCUGCGUGGGCCGGGCGCGCCCUGCUCCUGCUCCUUCUCUUCCUCUGCCAUCGGCAGCGGCCGGCGUCAGGUGUCAGGACCGGUCGGCCCGGCCGGCAGGCUUCAUCCUCAUCAUCGGCACGACGACGGCGGCGGCGGCGAAGUUCGACCGUCCCUCGUCGAUCUCGAGUGCCCCGUUGAAACUUGAAGUCCAGCCGUUGCUGCCUCGUCGUGCAAACUUAACUGCAGCUGCAACAAGCGCCGCUUGCUUGACCUGAGCAUGCACCUGCUGGCUGUGCGCCCUGCCGCACUGCAUGCGCCGCACAGGAACCCCUUAUGUGCAAGAGCGCACCGAACGUCGCCAGUGGAGCGGCGGCACGCGGUGGACGGGGACCAUACGCCGCCGUGCUGUUUCAUUUGGAACUCGGUGCAGCCAGCCAGCCAGCCAGACACGUUUUUUACCGCGUCUUGGCCAUGCGCACUGUAUAAAGGUUAAGGAAGGGAGAGAUCGCCCCCGCCGGCUCUGCGUUCGUGCGUGCCCUGGCUGGGAACAGGCACAGCGUCGGAGUUAGUCAACUGUUUAUCUUCUUUCUUGCUAGCUCUCUUUAUUAUCUGACACCGACUGUGCCACCCCCCCUGCUGAGAGGUCGCUUGCUUUGCUUUGCUUCGGUUUAGUUCGCCAUGAUUUUCUUUGCCUGAGACCUUUGAGUGAGCUGCGAGCGACUGCUCGAGGCCACAGAGAGGUCAGUGCGGCCAUCAGUGCGCCCGCCAGACACCUCGCAGACCUUGCUAGCCACUUGACUGCAUUUUUUCUUUCUUUAUUUCUUUUCAAAUAAAAAAAAAGAUUGUUGCGUGUGUUGUGUUCAAUCCACGAGCAUGACUACUCCGUCUGUCGUCCCGGCCGUCCAGACUUCCAGAGCAAUGUAUGUAUGUGGUGCACCUGCCGUAUAUAGAUUAAACACUGUCGCUGACCUUACCACAUGCAUGCGUGUGUGCCAUUAGUCUGGUACAGUCGUGCCGCACUAAACGCCUACGCAGUACGCACGCAUGUUUCUCGUACGUCCCGGCCGCGCUGUGUGUGCGUGCGUGCGUCUUUUGACCAAAACUGCCUUCUUUUUAGAUUUGUUUUUUUGUUGUUGUUGUUGUUGACGCUAGCUAGUAAAGCAAGCUAAGCGCGACGUACGUAACAUACGUGAUCGAUCGAUGUUCUCCGAAAGGUUGUUAUAUAUCCGGAUGAUGACACUAAAGCGAGCCAUCGCUUGCCUUUUUUUAUUUUAUUCCUUGUGUAAUGUCUAGUCCCCCAACAUCUACUCUCUGCUGCUCAAUGGCUCGUCGUCGUAUCGCACGCGCUAGCUGCUUGUGUGUGUAUGCAUGUAUGUUCACAGUCACGUACGGCAACGACCUCCAUCCGUCCAUCCAUCCAAGUGGAUCAGUCAGAGACUCAGAGGAUGCAAGUGGAGGCGGUGUCGAGACAGCCACCACCGGUCCAGUUAGCACAGGCGGUUCGUAUCGAUCGUACCCAUAUGCAUGCAUUGUAAGUAGUACCAGGUUAGGUAUUCUUGAGACGAGAGCAAUCAUAAGGUCGAUUUUACGAAAACAUGAACUGUGGAGCUAUUCACCCUUAGCUCCACGCACAGGGCAUUUUGGCGCAAUAUGCUUAGGGUUUGCAUCCUAGAUAUUCACAUGCAUUGCAAGCAUUUUCAACCAUAAGAAUCACUUCUCUCCUUCCAUAGGAGCUCUACUACACAGACUUUUUACUCCACAUAUAUGGCCUAGUUUGUUGUAAUUAGUCUCGUCUUCACUAAACGCUAUUGUGUGUAUUCAUUUACUAGUUUAAGUAUGUUUACAUACUUUUAAGAGUAGAAAACAAUAUAUAUGUAUAAGAUAAUUCUCUCUAUAUCUCUCUAUCCCUCCCCCCUAAUAUCUACAUGUACCUUUUCCUAUUUGGGCCAGGAUUCUUAAUUAUCUGGCUUAUUUAGGACCGGGGGAUUAAUUUGGAUUGGGGUUCGUAAUUGUACAAGUUACCUUAAAAUCAGUGCAUGUGUCGUAGAUAGUUGAAUAAUAAAGGCAACUUCUUUCUACAAGUACAAAAUUAGUUAGAGAAAGACAUAGACAAUAAAAAAAUAAACGAAAAUUCCUUGGUAGUA